UCCCCCUCUUCCUCUGCCCUCCUCCCUGAAGGGAGAGGAGAACAUUUCCCAGCCAGCUCUACCAGUGACCUAUCCACUGGACGACACGGCCUUUCAUUGCCUUUGGAGCACCUCGUGAUAGAAAUCAGUGGAUGUGAAAGAAGAAUCAGACAGGACAUUUGAAUCCAAGAGGAAAUAUUGAGCUGUUGUAAAUAGACCGCAAACGAAGAGAUCCACUGAAGAACCAUGCCUAUUUACAUCAGUACAGACAGCAGCAAUUCUUUUCAGUCAGGGGACAACAUUUGCAGUGUUUGCAUCUAUGCUGCAUUUGUACUAGCUACUUGGAACCACAUGCUGACGUGCAGUUUCC
Molecule: long non-coding RNA, 349 nt
Filed under: Chrysemys picta bellii (western painted turtle)
Lineage: Eukaryota; Metazoa; Chordata; Testudines; Emydidae
Description: lncRNA (ENSCPBG00000002679.1)
Source: RNAcentral